This 431-nucleotide ribosomal RNA is filed under the name uncultured bacterium. RNAcentral's name for it is "partial 16S ribosomal RNA". It matches the Rfam family "Bacterial small subunit ribosomal RNA", at positions 29 to 507 of the family's 1533-position model. The record is from RNAcentral.
AACGAACGCUGGCGGCAGGCUUAACACAUGCCAGUCGAGCGCCCCGCAAGGGGAGCGGCAGACGGGUGAGUAACGCGUGGGAACGUACCUUUUGGUUCGGAACAACUCCGGGAAACUGGAGCUAAUACCGGAUAAGCCCUAACGGGGAAAGAUUUAUCGCCGAAAGAUCGGCCCGCGUCUGAUUAGCUAGUUGGUGAGGUAACGGCUCACCAAGGCGACGAUCAGUAGCUGGUCUGAGAGGAUGAUCAGCCACACUGGGACUGAGACACGGCCCAGACUCCAACGGGAGGCAGCAGUGGGGAAUAUUGGACAAUGGGCGCAAGCCUGAUCCAGCCAUGCCGCGUGAGUGAUGAAGGCCUUAGGGUUGUAAAGCUCUUUUGUCCGGGAAGAUAAUGACUGUACCGGAAGAAUAAGCCCCGGCUAACUUCGUG